GCACAGUGCGAAUCCGUGAAUGAAUGUUCCGAUGUGAGAUAAACUUCAACAGAUUUCCCCUGCUCAGGGAGGGAGCAGUGAACACUGUAGAGACCAUGUCAAUGGGAACACAGUUCAUACAGGGAGCUCGAUUCUAACGAGCUCAUUAUCUGAAUCAGGUGUGUUAACAGAGAGACAUUCAAAAUAUGCAGAGCUGGGGGGCACAAGGACUGGGAUUGAGAACCACUGGUGUAGAGCAUUUACACUGCAGGAAACUGACAAGCAACACUACAGUCCGCCAACAAACAUAUGAGGAAGAGGAUGGCGGUCCAGCAUAUACAAAGAGAAAGAUGCAGACUGUACAUGUAGAGAUGCUCAUCUCUGCCUAAACACGUGACUACAACACAAACACAGCAUCACAGUUCAUCACUUUACUUUAAUUGCUUCUUCACUCAGGAUGUAGAGACACAGGAGUAACUGAUUAUUUCUCUUAACAUGCUACAAAUUUCUUUCAAUAUUUCUAUGUUUUGUAGUAAUCAAGAGAAGUGUCAUCGCUGAAUGAAUGGCAGACAUUACUCCUGAGACACCUGUGAACACAGAGCAGUGCUUUGAGUCCAAGACAGUGUACAUCAUCUUUAUUAUACAUCUGACUGAACUAGCAAGAAACGUUAGAGCCAAUGAGAAAAACUCAAAAGAAGAUACUCUGAAGAAUGCUGGUAAUCAAAACCAACAAGUUUGUCAGGUACAGAAAUGAAAGCUCCCAAACAAAGAUGUCACUGGAUUAAGAAGUAGAAAGACAUGUUACACCACAACAACCAUAAAUCCUGAGCGAUUUGAAAAUGGGCAACAACCAAGAAAAAGUACUCAUUGUUUCACUCAAAAAAUUAUUCAUGGUAAUAGUUG
Molecule: long non-coding RNA, 882 nt
Organism: Cyprinus carpio (common carp)
Lineage: Eukaryota; Metazoa; Chordata; Actinopteri; Cypriniformes; Cyprinidae
Exons: 4
Source: RefSeq, a predicted model, not a curated record